Molecule: long non-coding RNA, 296 nt
Filed under: Triticum aestivum (bread wheat)
Lineage: Eukaryota; Viridiplantae; Streptophyta; Magnoliopsida; Poales; Poaceae
Description: long non-coding RNA (TAES_LNC012301)
Source: RNAcentral
UCUAUAUAUUAUGGACCCUAUUCAAACAUCACAAUCGUCAGAGGAUAAAAAUUUGAGGCAUGCACUGAAAUUAAAAAGUUUUGCAAGGGAUUUCAAAGAAGCACUCAAAAUAAAGCUGUCUGGUUGGAAUUCCGAUAUAUCUAAAUGGCAACCUUUAUUUCCGUUUAGUAUUCCACCGAGUAUAGAUGGUAAUGAAUUCAUAAGAAAAACUUUUAUUUUUGUUAUCACUAUAUUUUUUAUUUAUUAAUUUAAAAAAUUGCAGGAAUGUGUCUGCCUAUUUUGUUUUUCAUUUUAUG